UACGAAGGGGGCUAGCGUUGCUCGGAAUCACUGGGCGUAAAGCGCACGUAGGCGGCUCGUUAAGUCAGGGGUGAAAUCCUGGAGCUCAACUCCAGAACUGCCUUUGAUACUGGCGAGCUUGAGUUCGGGAGAGGUGAGUGGAACUGCGAGUGUAGAGGUGAAAUUCGUAGAUAUUCGCAAGAACACCAGUGGCGAAGGCGGCUCACUGGCCCGAUACUGACGCUGAGGUGCGAAAGCGUGGGGAGCAAACAGG
Molecule: ribosomal RNA, 253 nt
Filed under: uncultured bacterium
Lineage: Bacteria
Description: partial 16S ribosomal RNA
Rfam family: Bacterial small subunit ribosomal RNA
Source: RNAcentral